RNAcentral lists this non-coding RNA (30 nucleotides) under Mus musculus (house mouse). Lineage: Eukaryota; Metazoa; Chordata; Mammalia; Rodentia; Muridae. The record is from RNAcentral.
UGACAAUAUGCCAAGGAACAGACUUCCAAC